Molecule: long non-coding RNA, 37662 nt
Filed under: Populus tremula
Lineage: Eukaryota; Viridiplantae; Streptophyta; Magnoliopsida; Malpighiales; Salicaceae
Description: long non-coding RNA (PTRE_LNC002444)
Source: RNAcentral
UCGUUUGAAGGGCUCUCCCUGUUUGCUACCCAAACAAUCAUCUUAUUUGCGAAGUUCUUAUACCAUAUUCCCAGGUAAAUGUUUACUGAAGUGCCUGGCUUGAAGAAACCGAGUUCAAAAGUGCCGUUUUGAGAUACUAGUGUCUGGCUCGCAGUGAGAGAUUGGCCAACCAAAAGGGUAUCACCUACAAUGGAGAAGCAAGUCCUAUGGGAAACGAAUAGCAACAACAGCACAAGGAGCAAAAAACGUGGCUUUGUCUCAACACACAUCCUUUCUAAUUCGUGGGAUUAAGGGUGAAAGAGCUGUGACUGAGCAUGAAUCAGAGAAAGAGGAAGGGAAAAAAACCAGAAAUCCCCUUGUGAAUUCAUCAACUAUAUGAUAAUGCUCUAGAUCUCUUGUUAUAUUGUAGCUGUCAGCUCUGACCAAUAAUUUCCCACACUGACUUGGACUUGAAUUCAUCCGCUAUGCCAUUUGUUUUUUGAGUCAUGUAAUGCUGAAAUGUGGGUUGAAUUGUCAAAUUACAGUAAAAAUAUCAAUAAUAUAAGGCAUUGAAGAAAGAUAAUUUUUUUUUUUGAAAUUUAGAACUUAAAAUGGAAAUUUCUAUACAAUAUAUUUUUGUUUAUUGUUUUUACUUAUAUUAAUUGAAAUUCAUGUUCUAGAUUCAGUUUCAUAUGUGUACUAUAGCUCUUAGUUUUUUUUUAUUUUUUGAUAAAAUAAAUCAUUGGUGCUUUAGAGUGUUUUUAUUUUAUUUUAAAAAUUGUAUCGAGAAAGAGUAGAAAAAGAGAAAGGGGGUGUUUAAUAAUAAGGUGCAUGUUUAUUUUAAAGGCUAAAAUAAUAUUUUUAAAAAUUAAAUUUUUUGCUUGAAGCUAUUUUUUAAAAUUAUUAUGAUGUGUUGGUAUCUAAAAUAAUUUUUAAAAAAUAAAAAAAUAUUAUAUUAAUAUAUUUUCAAGUAAAAAAUAAUUUUUAAAACAAUUAUUAAUUUUAUUUUUCUCAUUGUCUAUUUUAAUUUAUUACUCUUUUUUUUUAAGAGGAUUUUUUCACUAAACAAUUACCACAGUAAUAGUAGACUUCAAAUGUCUAUUAAUAAUUAAUAAAGUUUCAUUGUAUUCUUUGGGUGCAUAUUAGGAUUUAGGACUAUUAUUAAUUAUAGUCCAUUUCAAAGUCAAAGAUGAAUACAUAUUGUAUUCAAAACAGGACCAACCCAUCACACACUCACUUUUGAAUAAAACUUUACGUGGAAUAUAUAUCUGAAAUACAGCAGGAAGGAAAAAUGCAAAACGGCGCGUACGUAAACGGCACGUAUGUUUCUUGGUCAUGCUAAGAAAAAAAUCGACACUUUCUUUAUCAUUACAAGCUAUUAUUUUCUUUCUUUUGAAAAGCAAAUUUACUGUCAAAUUUAGCUGAUGCCAGGUCGGAGAAUCCAUCAAAAUCCCACUGUAGCUUCUGCAUUAUCAAAUAUAUAAUAUAAAUGCAUCCAAAAACUAUCUGAGGUUAACAUAUAAGAAAAUCAAUUGUAUAAAACCCCAUCAGACAGAACAUCUCUUUUGAUGAAUGAGCGAUUUUUAUUUAUCAAAGAACGACUUAACAGGAAAUCAAGUUCUACUCACAGACAGAGAAUCUUGUAUAAGUUUAAGAUCUCCUCCUUAAGUUAUUGACCUAAAAAGACAAUGCCAGCUGGUGGGACAAUAUUUAUGACCACGAAAGCUCCAUUUCUGAAGACGCCCUCAGGAUUUUGGCGAGUCUAAAGAAGGGUUCUGAGGGAAGUGUGAAGCUAGCUGGCACCAAGCCAGCCAAUUAAUGCUACCUAAUGUGAAGCAAUUAAUGCUGCCAAAGUUAACAAAGUGAGCACCAAUUCGGUGCCACUUGCAGCACCAAUUGGUGCUCUUGUAUUUUGUAAGGCAAAGGCAAGGAAGCUUGCCUAUAAAUAGGCAGUGCAUCCUUGCCUUAUAAACACACCCAAGUAAGAGAGAAAGAAGAGAGAGUGAAGAGGGAAAGUAAUCCCAUAAAAUUGUAAGGUAUUUGUGAGAGAAUAAGUGAGGUGUUUUCUCCUAGUAAUAGAGAGAUUUUAGUUGUUCUUCUAUUAUUUGAGAGAGGUUGUAAUUCCCACAUUAGUUAGUAAAAUCCUUCUAUACUUGCCCGUGGACGUAGCCUAAUUGGGUGAACCACGUAAAUUCUUGCGUGUCUCAUUUCUCAUUUUAGCCUUUUGUCUUGUCGGGUUUGUAUGCCAGUAUCCUAACAGUGGUAUCAGAGCCUUCUUGGUUGGUGUUGUUAACACACAAAAGUUAUUCGUGUAUACGGUUACUAUUCACGUCUACGUCACUAUUCACCUAUACGACACUAUUCAUCCAUACGGUACUGUUCACUUACAUUACUGUUGACGUAUAUAGAAAGUCAGUGCGAUGAUUAAAUAUAUUCUAGGAAGUUAUAUCAAAGGAGAUUAGGUUUUAAGCGGGACCGUUUGUGCUCCAAUCUUUCCUGGGAACUUACUUAGUGAAGUAUUUUUCACACGAUACUAUUUCUAUAUACGUUACAGAUCUGUGAAACGGUGAUAGCUGAAUAGAUCACGGUGAAUAAAAUGGCAGCAAAGUACGAGAUUGAGAGGUUCAAGGGGAGCAAUUUCUCACUGUGGAAAAUGAGAAUCAAGGCAAUCUUAAGGAAAGACAAUUGCUUGGCAGCAAUUGGGGAUCGGCCCGCGGAGAUCAUUGAUGAUGCAAAAUGGAAUGAGAUGGAUGGCAAUGCUAUUGCUAACAUACAUUUAGCAUUAGCUGAUGAAGUAUUAUCAAGUGUGGCGGAGAAGAAAACAGCUAAGGAGAUAUGGGAGACUCUAACAAGCUAUACGAGUCCAAGUCUUUGCAUAAUAAGAUUUUCUUAAAGCGGAGACUUUAUACCCUUCGAAUGGCAGAAACCACGUCGGUGACUGACCACAUCAACACAAUAAGAACUCUAUUUUCACAACUCACUACGUUGGGUCAACAAAUAGAGGAAAUGAACGUGCAGAGCUUCUACUUCAAAGUCUUCCUGAUUCGUAUGAUCAGCUCAUUAUCAACUUGACCAAUAAUAUCCUCUCAGACUAUUUAGUCUUCGAUGAUGUUGCAGCUGCUAUCUUGGAAGAAGAAAAUAGGCGCAAAAACAAAGGAGACAGAAACAGUUCAAACCAAGCUGAGGCAUUGUUGGUUCAAGAGGAAGAUCAACGGAACGUGGCUCAGUGGGAGUCAAAGGCAGGGGAGGUCCAAAUCAAGAAGUAAGAAGAGGUGAAAUGCUACAACUGUGGCAGAAAAGGGCACUUCAAAAAGGAUUGUUGGUUUAAAAAGGGUAUAGAGAAUACUGCAGAGUCAUCAAAACCUCAAGGAUGUGUUGCAAGCACCUCAGAAGAUGGAGAGGUUUUAUAUAGUGAAGCAGCAACAAUCUCUACAGAUAGAGAAGAGCUCACUGAGGUCUGGCUAAUGGAUUCAGGAGCAACAUGGCAUAUGACUCCUAAUCGGGAUUGGUUCCAUACAUAUGAACCCAUGUCUGGAGGCACAGUGUUCAUGGGUGAUAAUCAUGUUUUAGAGAUUGAUGGCAUUGGCACCAUCAAAUUGAAGAUGUAUGAUGGCUUAAUUCGUACUAUUUCAGGAGUGCGACAUGUGAAAGACUUAAAGAAGAAUCUUUUGUCCGUAGGACAAUUUGAUAGUCUUGGCUGUAAGAUCCGAACAGACAAUGGAAUCAUGAAAAUUGUCAAAGGCGCGCUGGUGGUUUUAAAGGCAAGAAAGACAGUUGCAAACAUGUUUGUAUUAAUGGGAGAAACACAUCAGGGGCAGAAGCAUCAAUCGCAUCAGCCAGUCCUGCAGAAGAGAAGACGAUGAUGUGGCAUCAAAAACUAGGCCACAUGUCAGAGAAAGGUUUAAAGGUUCUCUCUGAUCAGAAGUUACUCCCUGGGCUUACAAAGGUUACUUUACCUUUUUGUGAGCACUGUGUUACAAGUAAACAACACAGGUUGAAGUUUGGCACGUCAACAACUAAGAGCAAAUGCAUCUUAGACCUGAUUCACUCUGAUGUUUGGCAAGCACCGGUUGUAUCCUUGGGAGGAGCAAGAUACUUUGUAUCAUUCAUAGAUGACUUCUCCAGGAGAUGUUGGGUGUAUCCGAUUAGAAGGAAGGCAGAUGUGUUCGCAGUUUUUAAAACCUUCAAAGCGCGGGUAGAACUUGAAUCUGAAAAGAAGAUCAAGUGUUUGAGGACUGACAAUGGAGGAGAAUAUACCAGUGAUGAAUUUGAUAACUUCUGUCAACAUGAAGGUAUCAAAAGGCAGUUCACAACGGCAUACACUCCACAACAAAAUGGAGUGGCAGAGCGGAUGAACAGAACUCUAUUGGAAAGAACAAGAGCAAUGUUGAAGGCUGCAGGUCUAGAAAAGUCAUUCUGGGCAGAAGCAGUCAAUACCGCCUGUUAUGUGAUAAAUCGAUCUCCGUCAACUGCAAUUGAGUUGAAGACACCGAUGGAGAUGUGGACUGGAAAGCCAGCUGAUUAUUCUCGAUUGCAUAUAUUUGGAAGUCCUGUGUACGUGAUGUACAAUACUCAAGAAGUCAGCAAGCUGGAUUCAAAAUCCAGAAAAUGUGUAUUCUUGGGAUAUGCUGAUGGAGUGAAGGGGUAUCGCUUGUGGGAUCCCACUGCCCACAAGGUAGUCAUCAGCAGAGAUGUCAUAUUUGCAGAAGAUAAAAUGCAAAUGGAAGAAAAUAAUAGCAUUUUAAAGGAGACUACAGAAGUCCAGAUGGAAAAUACUCAGAAUCAUACUUCUUCUGAAGCUGCACCAGAGCAUGAAGAACAAGAACAAAUAGAGUCUGAAACUCCUGAAGUUCGACGGUCAACUCGUGAAAGAAGACCACCGGCUUGGCACUCAGAAUAUGUUACUGAGAGCAACAUUGCAUACUGUCUUCUAACAGAGGAUGGAGAGCCAUCAACUUUCCAUGAGGCUAUCAAAAGCACAGAUGUAUCUAUGUGGAUGACAGCAAUGCAAGAGGAGAUUGAAGCUCUGCACAAGAAUAACACUUGGGAUCUUGUUCCGCUACCACAAGGAAGAAAGGCCAUUGGCAACAAAUGGGUUUACAAGAUAAAGCGUGAUGGCAAUGAUCAAGUGGAGCGGUAUCGUGCAAGAUUGGUGGUGAAAGGAUAUGCUCAGAAAGAAGGAAUAGACUUUAAUGAGAUAUUUUCUCCGGUGGUACGACUUACUACAAUCAGAGUAGUCUUGGCAUGUGUGCUAUAUUUGAUCUUCACUUAGAGCAGUUAGAUGUGAAAACUGCAUUUCUUCAUGGAGAACUUGAAGAAGAAAUUUAUAUGCUCCAACCAGAGGGUUUUGCUGAAACAGGCAAGGAGAACUUGGUUUGCAGGUUGAACAAAUCUCUAUACGGUCUCAAACAGGCGCCGAGGUGUUGGUACAAGAGAUUUGAUUCCUUCAUAAUUAGCCUUGGGUACAACAGACUCAGUUCAGACCAUUGUACGUAUUACAAGAGGUUUGAAGAAAAUGAUGUUUUCAUCAUUCUGUUGUUGUACGUGGAUGACAUGUUGGUAAUAGGCCCCAACAAAGAUCGAGUCCAAGAAUUGAAGGCACAGUUGGCUAGGGAGUUUGAUAUGAAGGACUUGGGACCAGCAAACAAGAUUCUAGGGAUGCAAAUUCACCGAGACAGAAGUAAGAGGAAGAUUUGGCUUUCUCAGAAGAAUUAUUUGAAGAAGAUCUUGCGACGCUUCAACAUGCAAGAUUGUAAGCCAAUUUCCACCCCACUUCCUAUUAACUUCAAAUUAUCCUCAAGUAUGUCUCCUAGCAAUGAAGCAGAGAGGAUGGAGAUGUCUCGAGUACCGUAUGCAUCAGCAGUGGGAAGUUUAAUGUUUGCCAUGAUAUGUACAAGACCAGACAUUGCACAAGCAGUGGGAGCAGCUAGUCGAUACAUGGCAAAUCCUGGUAGAGAGCAUUGGAAUACUAUUAAGAGGAUCUUGAGAUACAUCAAGGGUACCUCAGAUGCCGCAUUAUGUUAUGGAGGAUCAGAAUUUACUGUCAGAGGUUAUGUUGAUUCAGAUUUUGCUGGUGACCUUGAGAAAAGAAAAUCCACUACAGGCUAUGUGUUCAUAAUUGCAGGAGGAGCUGUGAGCUGGGUCUCUAAACUUCAGACUGUUGUAGCGUUAUCCACAACAGAAGCUGAGUAUAUGGCAGCUACACAAGCUUGUAAAGAAGCAAUAUGGAUGAAGAAACUUAUGGAGGAGCUCGGGCACAAACAAGAGAAGAUUCUUUUGUAUUGUGAUAGUCAGAGUGCCUUGCAUAUUGCAAGGAAUCCAGCGUUUCAUUCAAGAACAAAACAUAUAGAUGUUCAGUAUCACUUUGUUCGCGAAGUGGUGGAAGAUGGAAGUGUGGAUUUUCAGAAGGUUCACACAAAGGAAAACCCAGCAGAUGCUUUGACCAAACUAGUCAACACUGACAAGUACAUAUGGUGCAGAUCCUCUUAUGACCUAGCAGAAACGUAAGCAGCAUGAAGAUGGCAAGUAUUGAAAGGAUAGAAGAAUCACAAAUGAUCAAGUGUGAAGACUUGAUUAAAUCAUCAAAGUCUUCAAGUGGGAGAAUGUGAAGCUAGCUGGCACCAAGCCAGCCAAUUAAUGCUACCUAAUGUGAAGCAAUUAAUGCUACCUACUAGCACCAAUUGGUGCUGCCAAAGUCAACAAAGUGAGCACCAAUUGGUGCUGCCAAAGUCAACAAAGUGAGCACCAAUUCGGUGCCACUUGCAGCACCAAUUGGUGCUCUUGUAUUUUGUAAGACAAAGGCAAGGAAGCUUGCCUAUAAAUAGGCAGUGCAUCCUUGCCUUAUAAACACACCAAGUAAGAGAGAAAGAAGAGAGAGUAAAGAGGGAAAGUAAUCCCACAAAAUUGUGAGGUAUUUGUGAGAGAGUAAGUGAGGUGUUUUCUCCUAGUAAUAGAGAGAUUUUAGUUGUUCUUCUAUUAUUUGAGAGAGGUUGUAAUUCCCACAUUAGUUAGUAAAAUCCUUCUAUACUUGCCCGUGGACGUAGCCUAAUUGGAUGAACCACGUAAAUUCUUGCGUGUCUCAUUUCUCAUUUUAGCCUUUUGUCUUGUCGGGUUUGCAUGCCAGUAUUAGAAUUCCAUAACUUCCAUGCCUAUGGUAUAACAACGCAAAUGAUGCAUCAUUAGUGUGGACACUAGGAAAGUAGUCAAAUACAAAUCAAAAUGGAAGAAAAAGAAAUAAGCGUAUAUGAAAGCUCCCCACAUGUCCAAGAAGAUUGACGGAGUCGCUGUGGUAGAAAUUAGUAUUCUUCCUGCCGCUUACAAUCUCAAGUACCAUCACCCCGAAGCUAAACACAUCAGAUUUUAUCGAGAAGAGGCCCUCCAUAGCAUAUUCAGGGGACAUAUAGCCACUAAAAAUUGGAAAGGUCAGUGCAGAUCAUGUUAAGAGUAGCUGUUACUGGAAGGUGGAAUUCAAGAAACUUACUAUGUCCCAACGAUCCUGUUGGUGUUUGCUUGAGUUUCGUUGCCUCCGAAAAUUCGAGCCAUCCCGAAAUCAGAUAUUUUUGGAUUCAUUUCACUGUCUAAUAGAAUGUUGCUAGGCUUUAAAUCCCUGUGAAUGAUUCGUAACCGUGAAUAUCUAUGUAGAUACAAAAGGCCUUGAGCAAUUCCUUCGAUUAUCCGAAUCCGUGUACCCCAAUCUAGGAUUUGUCCUCUGUUUGCAUCUGUUUAUAGUUUAUACACAAAUCUGAUAUAAAUUUCUUGAAUGAUUAAAAUGGUAUUAGAAUGAUUAAAAUGUUUUAUGGUGAUGAGAUGGUUGUGAUAGUGAUUACUGAUUAUGAUUAUAGUGGUAAUAAAGGUUCAGGUGGGGAUGGAGGGGUGGUGGUGGUGGUUGUGAUAAUUGUGGUAUGAUGAUGGCGGCAGUAGCAACAAGGAUGGUAGCAGACACCGCGUUAGUAGUUACAGUGGAGGUCCUGGCAGCAAGGUAGUGGUGGUUGAAAUCAUUGCAUGAUAUUGUGAGUAGAUCAGUGUUAGUAAAAUAUUUUAUAGAAAUUUGUAAGGUGAAAAUUACUUUUAAGUUUAAUGAUAAACUGUAAAUUUUAAGGGAAACAAGUCUCUAUUUCAACAAGUCUCUAGUGAAUAUCAUAUAUAUAUAUUUCAGUGAAACUCUUAACACAAAACAGUCUCUAUUUCAACACACACACACACACAAAACUAACUCCAACAAAAUGAACCUUAUUAUCUGCAUAGCUAACACAUAAUCACAAAGCAGGGCUUUUUCGUACUUUUCAUCACUUUAACUUAAGGGUUAAUUAAGUCUACCAGGAGACAGCAGAAAUUAAAGCAAGAACAGGAUGUACCUUUGUGUAUGAGCUUUCCCUUGCGCAGACAGCUGAAGUAUAUGAAGAGGCCUAAGGUAAUCAGAGUUACUGGAACAGCCACAACCAAGGUUACCCAUAUUAUCCUUCUGAUAUUACCUACUUGAAAACAUAGAUCAAAUAUUAACCAAAUCAUAAACCAACACAUUUACAAUUAAAAGUUUUUUUGAAGUAGAAAAAAAUGGAAAGAUAGGUUAUGUAGGGACAUUGCGUCCACCCUUUUAUCUGGAAAGACUACACCUUAUUUUGUGAAAAAUAGUUGCUCAACAUUUAUUGGAUCAUUUAUGGCUAUAUAGAUACAACCUUUUUACCAUACCUAUUCCGCUACUCCCACUACCAGUCUCAAGUUCAAGCUCAGAAGCAGCAAAUCUGAUGUAAAUUUCUGCUUCAGUCCUGCCACCAGCAACCUCUGCCCGUUGUAAGUUUAUAAGAGCUCCAUCCCAUAAAAGACACUCACCAUUAUUAUCAUUAUAGGCAUAAGCCAUGCAAGAACAAUUUUCAAUGCAAUCCAAUUUGCAUCUUUCAUAACUCACUUUCUGAUAUGCUUUUGAAAUCCCUGUAAAUGAUUCGUAAAAACCCAUCAUUUGACACUGCAAUAUUUUUCCUAUGUUGACAAUGCAAAGGAGACAUCCUAAGGCAACCGCUUGACCAAUCAUUUGCUACAAAUGGUCUAAAACCUCUGAGACAUCCACAAGGAGUUGAUGAAUUUACAUGAAAGACUCCAAAAGCCCCGCAUAAACCAUAAACAUCAGCUGGGUCCCUUGGUUGAGACCAAAAAAGAAACCAAUCCCCAAAAUCUCCCAAAGAACUGAAUUGUUUGAUCUGUCCUGAAACAUCAAUCACUGUUCUUGAAAGAACUGAGGUAUUGUACAAAGAAUAGGUGAAAUAGCUUUCAUUUUCAUUUGAUACAUAACUAUAAUUGAAAAUAUAGUUCAAUCUCAUCUCAGGUACCAAGGUAAAUCUUUCUCCAUUCCAAUCACCACUGCUCCAAUACCUGUGUGACAUGUUCCACUCUAUGAAAAACUGACUACUUCCAUUUGGGUCGAUCCCAAUCGAGAACAUACCUGGUGCAGGAUCUUCUGGGUUUUUCCAUGAAAUAAGCCGCUGCACUUGCCCAGUGUGCUUGUUGAUUCCAAGCUUUCCACCAGGAAGCCAUGUGUCAGUUGGAUAAUCAAAACUCUGCCAGUAUAUGGUAGAUGGAUUUGAGCCAUCUCUUACGACAAAGUUUCCAUCGUCAAGAAUUACUGCUUCUGCUUUACUAGUAUUCGGCACUGAGGAUGCAAGAGCUGUUGACCAAACUGUUUCGGUGAAAUUUUUCAGCAGGACAAGAUUGCCAUCAGAUAACAAUUCAAGCUUCGAUGAAGCAGUGUUGUUGGAAGGGCUCUCCCUAUUUGCUACCCAAACAAUCGUCUUAUUUGCGAAGUUCUUAUACCAUAUUCCUAGGUAAAUGCUUAAAGAAGCGGCUGGCUUGAAGAAACCGAGUUCAAAAAUGCCGUUUUGAGAUAUUAGAGUUUGGUUUGCAGAGAGAGAUUGGCCAACCAAAAGGGUGUCAUCUCCAAUUGAGAAGCAAGUCCUAUGGUAAACGAAUAGCAACAAAAGCAGAAAGAGCCAGAAACAAGGCUUUGUCUUAACACACAUCCUCUCUAAUUUGUGGGAUUAUGCGUGUAAGAAAUGUAACUGAGAAUGAACCAGAGAACGAGGGAUGAAAACAAAGAAGAAAUCCCUUGCGAUUUCAACAAGUAUACGAAAGCUUUCUUUGAUCAUAUUGUUGCUACCAACUCUCCCUGCAAUUUUUCACUUUGACUACGGCAUUUCACGUUUUAGUCAUGUGAUGACGACAUGUGGGUUGAAUUGUCAAAUUACAUUGAGAAUAUCACUAAUAUAAGGCAUUAAAGAAACUUUAAAAUGAAAACUUUUAUAUGGUAUGUUUUUUGUUUUUUGUUUAUUGUUUUUACUUAAAACCAUGUCCAAAACACGCUUGUCUUCAAAGUUAUUCUAUAUAUUCUUACAUGAAUAAAUUCUGUAUAUUUCGCUCAUCUUAAGGUAUUACCUUUUUUAAUUUAUUAUUCUUUGUUUCUUAAGAAAAAAAUCUCACAUAGUCAAAUAAAACCACGUGCAGAAACAACCACAGUAGUAGUCAACUUUAAUUAUUGAAAUGCCUGUUCAUAAUAAAGUUCGAUUAGAGCGUGUUAGAUUUAGGACCAUUAUUACAGGACCUUUGAAAGUCAUUGAUAAAUAUAUGUAGUUAAAGUAGUCUGUCGUAUGUGUAAAAAAUCUCAAAUUUAGUUAAUGCCAGCACAGAGAAUCCAUCAAAUUCCCACUCUAGCUCUUGCAUCAUCAAAUAUCUAAUAUAGCAUCCAGAAACCAAAAAUCAUAUAACAAAACAGGAAUUUUUCUUUUGAUGAAAGAAGGAUUUUCAUUUAUCAAAGAACAACUUGACAGGAAAAUUCUACUUUCAAACAUAGAAUCUUUUGCGAGGACGUACAAAACAAGCAAACAUACGUGCUAUUGUCAGAUAUCUAGUGGCAACUCCUUGAUUGUGUUCCUUGCAAACAUAAUAAAUGUAACCACACCAGGCAAUCUUCAACGUGACAGCACCCCUUCUUAAGCAAAACCUGUUCGGUCCAAAGGAAUUCAGUAGACAAGUCACUUAGUUGUGGGAUUUUUCACUGAGCUGAGGCGGAUUCUACCAAAUUCCUUUAAUGAGAGGACUAUUUUCUAAGUUUAAGAUAUCUUAAAGAUACUGACGUAAAAAGAAAAUGUCAGCUAGCGGACAUUUAUGGCCACGAAAGCUCCAUUUAUGAAGACACUCUCGGGAUUUUAGUGAGUCUAAAGAAGGGUUUUGAGGGAAGGAAGAGGGGGGACUGAGGUGAAGAGAAGGGCUUUGUGUGUGUUUUGAUAGUCAAAAAAGAUUUGGACCACCAGUAUACCUUUAUGCACAAUAAAACGAUGUCUUAUGAGGACUGUUGACACUUCAUUUGGUCUUCGGUAAACCCUUAAAGAUUGAAACUUUAUUCUUCGUUAAAUACUAAAACAUCAAAUCCAUAGAGGAAAAUCACUCCUUUUUCCAAUUCUUGAAAGAAUACAUCCACUUGCAUGGGGGCAGGGGAGCUCAAAGACAUUGCAUACCCUAUCUUGUCAUGAAAGUCUGCAGACUCCGGAGGGUGUCUAGGCACUGCUUAAAGCAUCAGUAUCACCUUCGCCAUCAUUCGCGGAUGAGUAGGGUGUAACUACUACUACCAUGUAUCCCAUGGCCCUGGCCGUAAUAUGUAUCAUAAUAUGCUGGUGAAAAGGCAAGUUGCAGCCUCUAUAGCCAGGUGAAUCCUCAUAGAAUCAACCCUUCAUGAGAAAUAACACAGAGUCUGCUCCCGGUGGGCUGUGAUGUAGUGGAUUGGGGAAAGAAAAAAGUGAAAAACGGUUGAAAGAGUGUGUUGUCGAUUGAGUGGCCAGGAACCUCCGUUGUUUCCACAACCAAAUGCUAAACCCAGCCAAAUAAAGGAAAUGACACCAUGAGGGGAGAAGAAAAGGGAGAUGAAACUGAAAGUCAAAAGGAAAAAUCAAGUUCAAAUUCCAGAAAGAGGAGUUACAGUGAGACGAGUAUGGAAGCAGGGGCAAACGAAGUCACAAGCCAGGCAGCAUAUAAAGUGGCAGGCAAAUAUUUUGAUCCUUCAUGGGUACAAGAAGGCUCUAAUAAAUCCCCUCGAUCAACUUCGAAGACUUGAACCUUUACUUAAACUGCGUUGUGUUACAGAAGUGACUGUAAACACGGUGAUCCUUCAGUUUUCUGUUACAUCCUAUAAUCUUUCAUUCACCAUACAGUAAACCGGAGAUUGUUAGGACAUCCCUGUGAGUAAUUUUUUCUUUUCCUUUCUGAUGAAUUCCUGGAUGUGAACGUAGUAGUAUCACAAGGUAGUGGCAUUUUUACCUCAGCUGAUAUGUCUAUGAUUUUUCUUGUAUGCUCUCCAUUUUAGUUUAUGUUUAAUCAUAAUCCAUCUAUUCUUGAUUGUGGAGCGUUCAGUCUCUCAGUCAGAGAACAUAAGCUAGGAAAUCUCGAAUUGAAAUUUUCUUAGUAAAUGAAGCAUAAUUUGCUAUGCUUUGAUGGCUAAGGACAUUGCUUCAGGAUGUGGGGAUCUCUUCAUUCUCCUGUACGUUAGCCCCAAUGACAUUUGGGAAUUUAUAAGGAAAUCCCUGGGUCACAGACUCUCAACCUGUUACCGUACAUGAUUUAGACACUUGUACAAUUUAGAACUCUAUUAAUAUUAGCUGUACAUAUUAUCUUUCCAUGUAUAGAUGCUGAAUAUUAGGAAUCAAUGAGACUCCAUGUAAAGGAAAACACUCACGUAUAAGAAGUCAAACAGGGAACUGACAGAGGGAGUUUUUCCAAAAACAAAAGCUCACUCGGAAUUCUUGUUUUCUCAAUAUAUUGACAUGGUAUCAGAGCAGGUUCUGAAUCCUUGUCUGUUUUGAUCUUCUUCUCUUGAAGGUGUCUAUGUGACUUUUGGCGCUGCCUGUGCAAGUUGUUUGCCUUUGUUGUGACCUCUCGACAGUCUCUGUGCUAUUCCUGGUUUGGUUUUCACUCUUUACAGUUCUGAUGUUCUUGGCUUGGCUUUAAUUCUCAGUAGUAUUUAUUUUGAUUCCUGGUUUAUUCAUCUUUCGGCAAUCUCUGUUUGGUUCCUGGUUUGGAAUUACUUGGCACUUUCUGUUGAGUUUCUAGUGUGCAAUCUUCUAGUGGGCUAUUUUUCUUUCGGGUUCAUCAUGUUAUCAGAUAGGUUAGACUCGUUCCAUAUUCGUUUUAAUGGCAAAAAUUAUUCUGCUUGGGAGUUUCAAUUUAAAUUAUUUGUCAAAGGGAAAAAAUUGUGGGGUCAUAUUGAUGGGAGUAAUCCGGCACCUAAAGAUGCUGAUGCUUUGUCUAAAUGGAAAAUCAUGGAUGCUCGGGUUAUUUCCUGGAUCCUUAGCUCAAUAGAGCCUCACCUUGUUCUCAAUUUGAGGCCUUAUAAAACUGUUGCUUUCAUGUGGAAUUAUCUAAAUAAGGUUUACAAUCAAGACAACACGGCUCAACGUUUUCAAUUGGAGUAUGAGAUGGCUAACUUCACACAGGGAAGUCUCUCCAUUGAGGAAUAUUUUUCUGGUUUUCAAAAUCUUUAGGCUAAUUAUUCAGAUAUUGUUUAUGCUAAUGUUCCUGCUGCAGCUCUCUCUGCUGUUCAAGCAAUCCAUGAAACAAGCAAGAGAGAUCAAUUUUUUAUGAAGCUCCGUCCUGAUUUUGAAACUGCACGUUCCAAUCUGAUGAAUCAUCAUCCUGUACCAUCUUUGGAUGCCUGUUUGAGUGAACUUCUUCAUGAGGAGCAGCGUCUCGUCACUCAGGCUGCUAUGGAACAUCGUGCUAAUGUUAGUGCACCUAUUUCUGUGGCUUAUACAACACAAGGGAGGAAUAAGGGUAGAGACAUGCAUGUUGUCCAGUGCUUUAGUUGUAAGGCUUUUGGUCAUAUUGCUAGGGAUUGCCCUAAGAAGUUCUGUAACUACUGCAAGAAACAAGGUCAUAUUAUCUCUACUUGUCCCAUUCGACCUGAAAGGAAACAUGGUACUGCUUAUCAUGCCUCAAUGGGUGCCUCUAGUUCUGCUGCAUUCCCUACUGCCUCGCCUGUUGUUCCUAUAGCAAACCCGAAUAUACUUACUCCUGAAAUGGUACAACAAAUGAUCAUUUCUGCUCUUUCUGCUUUUGGGUUCUCAGGUAAUUAUAAAUUUCCUUCUAAACCAUGGUAUUUGGACUCCAGUGCCUCUAACCACAUGACCAAUACUGCUGUUUCUCUUGCCAAUGUUAUAAAUUAUGAUGGUAAUCUGAAAAUUAAUACCGAUGAUAGCAAUUCUCUGCCUAUCAGUGUUAUUGGUGAUCUUUCUCCUUCCUUGACUGAUGUUUUUGUGUCUCCUAAUCUCUCCACAAAUCUUAUUUCUGUUGGUCAAUUGGUUGAUAAUAAUUGUGAUGUCCAUUUCUUCCAUUCUGGUUGUGUGGUACAGGAUCAAGUGUCAGGGAAAAUGAUCGUGAAGGGGCCUAAAGUGGAAUGACUCUUUCCUUUUUACAUUUCUCCUUCUACUAUUAUUCCUAGUUUUCCUUUACUUUAUUUUGCAUGUAAUGUUAUUGGUUCUGGACAUAAAAUGUGGCAUAAACGUCUAGGCCACCCAAACUCAGAUGUACUUCGCACUUUGUUUAAUUCUGGAUUAUUGGGAAAUAAAGCAUGUUCUUCUCUUGAUCUUUCUUUUGAUUGUACAUCAUGCAAACUUGGCAAAAGUAAAGUUCUACCUUUUCCUCAUCAUGCAUCUCGUGCCUCUCAAUGUUUCGAUAUUAUUCAUAGUGAUGUUUGGGGGAUUGCACCUGUUGUUUCUCAUGCGCAUUACAAGUACUUUGUUACUUUUAUUGAUGACUUGUCGCUUUACUUGGGUUUACUUUCUCCGGGCUAAAGCUGAAGUUUUUUCAGUCUUUAAGCGAUUUCUUGCACUUCUUGAGACUCAAUUCUCUGCCAGCAUCAAAAUCUUGCGCUUUGAUUCUGGCGGUGAAUACAUGUCAAAUGAGUUUCAGGACCUUCUUCAAAGCAAAGGGAUCAUCUCCCAACGUUCUUGUCCUUCGACACCACAGCAAAAUGGUGUCGCUGAGAGGAAAAAUUGUCACCUUCUUGAUAUGGUAAGAACUCUUUUACUUGAAUCAUCUGUUCCUCCUCGUUUUUGGUGUGAAGCACUUUCUACUUCAGUUCACUUGAUCAAUCGCUUACCCUCUCCUACAUUAAAUCAUGUUUCUCCUUUCUUUAAGUUGUUUGGUCAUUCUCCUUUAUAUUCUGAUCUUCGCACAUUUGGUUGUGGUUUUUUUGUGCAUCUCCUUGCUCAUGAACGACAUAAACUCACUACUUAGUUUGUUAGGUGUGUUUUUCUUGGUUAUGCUAUCCCUCAAAAGGGUUAUGUUUGUUAUGACCCUCAUGUUUGUCGUAUACGAGUUUCUAGGAAUGUGAUUUUCUUUGAAAAUCAAUAUUUCUUUCCAUCUCAUGUUGAGUUGCCAUCUGCUUCUUUACCCCUUUUGCCUAGUUUUUUUUAUUCCCCCUGUGGAAAGGUUCAAACCUGGUUUUGUAUAUGAAAGACGUCGUCGACAUGAGUCUGAUUCCACUUCCUCUGUGCCCCUUUCCGAUCUUGACCCGGUGCCUGAUCCUGCUCCAACUUCCACCACUCUUCGUCGGUCUACUCGCCUUUCUCGACCCCCUGAUUGGUAUGAAUUCUUCUCUCCUGUCUCUCUUGUCGCUACUUUAUCCACUAUUUCCAUUCCCUCUUGCUAUAAACAGGCUAUGGAACAUAAGUGUUGGCAAAAUGCAAUGCAAGCAGAACUUCAAGCACUUAAGAGAAUCACACUUGGGAUAUUGUUCCUUAUCCUCCUUUGGUCAAACCUAUUGGGAGUAAAUGGGUUUUCUCUGUAAAACUUCGUUCUGAUGGCUCUUUGGAUCGGUACAAAGCUCGCCUCGUAGCUCUGGGUUACCAGCAAGAAUAUGGGGUUGACUAUGAGGAGACAUUUGCUCCUGUUGCCAAAAUGACCACGAUUCGAACCAUCUUAGCUAUUGCCGCUUCACAGUCAUGGCAACUGCAUCAGAUGGAUGUGAAGAAGGCUUUUCUUCAUGGUGAUCUCCAUGAAGAGAUUACAUGAAUCUUCCCUCUGGUAUGACUACUUCUUCUCCUCAUGAUGUCUGUAAGCUAAAGCGUUCUUUAUAUGGGCUUAAGCAAGCGCCUCGGGCUUGGUUUGAGAAGUUUCGCAGUGCACUUCUUUCCUUUCAUUUUACACAAAGUCAUUAUGACUCUUCUCUCUUCUUCCAUAGAUCUGUGUCGGGUAUAGUCCUUCUAUUGAUUUAUGUGGAUGAUAUUAUCAUUACUGGCACUGACUGUGGUUUGAUUACUAAGCUUCAACAGCAAUUACAUUCAACUUUCCAUAUGAAAGAUCUUGGUCAGCUCACAUAUUUCUUAGGAUUGGAAGUUCAUCAUCGGGCUAAUGGUAUUUUCGUGAACCAGCAUAAGUAUAUUCAAGAUCUUAUCACUUUGGCUGGUUUGGAGGACACUUCUUCGGUUGAUACUCCUAUGGAGGUUGGCUUUCCCAUUUCGGUGAUGCCCUAUCAAUAAGAGAAGGGCAACUUGUUAUACAGAGAGAUUCUUUGAGAACAUAACUAACCUGUAAGCAUUGCUAGUGUAAUACUCUGUUGUAUAUCCAAUCACAAGUCCAGCCCACAAGCCAAUGGCAACACAAAAGAAAAGGUGCCUGCAGUAACAUGUAAUUCAAUCAAGAAAAUGGAAUGCUACAAAAUGUUCCAUGGGAAAAGGAAAUAGACUUUUUCGGUGGGUAGCGUACCAGUUCUUGACAACCUUCUCAGUUCCGAAAUUGAAGAUAGUGAAUUCUGAUGGCAAAGCAAAGAAGCUGACCAUGGCAAUCCCAACAGUCAUCAUAAUUGUUGAGACAACGAGUUGCCUCUUCAGUGAUGGCUCAAUUUCACUUACGUCCUUGAUCUUGAAGAGAUCGGUUGCAAAAAGUGUAGUUAUCAGGCAAACUACAAUCCCAACUGAGCUUAUGAUCAGUGGAAAAGACAUGGCUGUGUAGUCAUGGCUAAUACCAAAGGAUGAUAUAGAUGCAACAAAAAGUGCUGCACAGGAUGAUUCAGCAUAAGAUCCAAACAGGUCAGACCCCAUCCCUGCAAUGUCUCCUACGUUGUCACCCACAUUAUCGGCAAUAACCUGCAUAGAAACCAUAAAUCCAUUGCAACCAAUCGAAGUAAAUAGCAUGAAGGAUAAGACUUUGAUCGUGUAAUUAGUUAAAGAGAGUGUUAAAGGGGUUCACGGAGAUUACAGCUGGAUUUCUUGGAUCAUCUUCAGGGAAGUUUAGUUCAACUUUUCCAACAAGGUCAGCGCCAACAUCAGCUGCUUUUGUAUAUAUUCCUCCUCCAACUCUUCCAAACAGCGCCAUUGAUGAACCUCCAAGGCCAUAACCAGUAAUGGACUCAUAAAGUCCUUCCCAGUCAUCUCCAUAGUAGAGUUUGAAUAAGAGGAUGGAGAUAUAGAGCACCAAAAGACCAUUCGCAGCAAGAAGGAAACCCAUCACCGCCCCCGAACGAAAAGCCGUGACAAAGGCCUUUCCUACACCCUUCCUUGCUUCUAGAGUUGUCCUAGCGUUGGCAUAGGUUGCAAUCUUCAUGCCUAGGAAUCCUGAGAGGACAGAAGUAAGAGCACCAAGCAAGAAAGCAAUGGUGCUAAAGGUAGCAUUGGCAAGAGCUGGUUUACAAAGACUCCCUUUGUUGUAUGUGCAAGCUUCACUUUUGGUACUGAAUCCCUUAACUGAACCAAGGAAGAGGAAAAUAAUGGCAGCAAAAACACACAUGAAGACACUGAGGUACUUGUACUGAGUAAACAAGAAUGUGGUUGCCCCUGGAAACAGAUCAGGUCAAAUAAAGAUCACAAUUCUCCAAAAAGUUUCAUCAUCAAUGCAAGAACAUCAGAGGCAGCAUCUUAUACUCGUUUAAAACUUAACCAGAAGCACCAAAAUCCAUCAAAAUAUGGGUCAAACCUAUGCACUUGAAAUUUAAACAUUACCUGCAUGCCGAUGAUUGGGAAAUACUCUUUCCAAUUCUAGUGUCAGCACUCAAAGUCAAUAAUUUUGAAGAUUUCCUUCAGACAGGUUUAAGGGAAGGGAAGUGGGGAUACAUGUAAGAAAAUAAAGAUCACACAGGCAAUCCAGAGAGGCAACAAUAGGAACUUCAAGUUGUCAAUCACAAAAGACUAGUUUGUGAUAUCUUUAGCCUAAGAUAAUGGAACUCAUCGUCCUAAAUCAGAUCUGCUAUCUUCACCAGAUGAUCAUCAAUGUUAUUAGCCGGUAUGUAGAAUAUUAAACUCAAUAUAUCCAGAAGCUCCCAGAAGGUCAAGUUUGGCAACCAGCCACCAGCCGCCGACCAGCCACCAGCCGCAGCCGCCAGCCGCCUUCACACCUGGAACAAUAGAUUUUCGUAUUCUGAUUUUGUCUAUAAAUAAAGUGCCCAGCUUGUGUUUAUUUGUGUAAGCAAAGCAAAAACAAUCCCAAUCAAAGCAGCAACAGGUAUCAAAACCUGCGUAAGGCCUUCACUCAACAUCCCCAUUUCCAGAUGGCUCACUAGCAGUCACUUCAGCUUCUUCAACAGUGAGAAUUAUACCAGCACAGAUGCAGACAGAACAAGAACUUAGCUUUGGGCACUGCCCUAUAAAACUACAGGCACAGAAAGUACAUUAUCCAGAAAGAUAUUAAUUGUCAGAAUACUUGAUUGGUCCAUGGAAUCUGAAAAAGAAAGAGAACUGGUUGGUUUGUGAUGCAGACAAACAACGGAACUCACACGCGUUCUAACACACAAGGUUUUUUCAAUCUGUAAUUCCGUAGAAGAACAAAGAAAGAAAGAAUUCUGAGUUAACUACUCAAAGGAGUUUUGGUUUUUUUUUGUUUAUUAUUCUCCCCCUUUCACAAAGAGCUUACAACCGAAUAAAUAGAAGAAACAGAAUUCCUAGAGUUCUAAAACAGCCUCAUUAAGUCAGGAAACAGUCCAGAAUUAAUGAGGAAAUAAAAGCUAAAAUAACGGAACGAAACGUCCUGAAUUAUUAGAGCAAGUAAAAGCUAAUUACUGAAAUGAAAAGAAACUCCAACUGUUACGUAAGAAAGUUUAACGUUCUUGAUUGUGCAACAAUAGUCAGCCCUUUUGAUGACUUGCUCUUCGGUCCACAUCAUCCUCCCCAAGCUGAGAAGAAUUCGACCACGAAUUCGGGAGAUCUUCCUCCUCUGAUGACAAAUCCCCGUGGAAAGGAAACAAGUGUUUGACAUUAAAUACAUCUGCUGUUCGAAGAUGACUGGGCAGCUUGAGGCGGUAGGCAUUGGAAUUAAUUUUCUCAAUAAUCUCUACUGGACCAAUCUUGCGUGCGGAAAGUUUAUUAUACUCGCCUAUAGGAAAGCGAUCCUUCGUUAGCACAGCCCAAACAAGGUCCCCCACCUCAAAAUUGACAAGACGCCGCUUGCGGUCCGCAUUGUGUUUAAAUUUGGCAAUAGAUUCCAGUAAAUUCUCUCGGGUGAGGUUGUGAAUGUCCUGCAGCUGGGUGACAAAAUCCUCUGCCUUGUGAUGAACUUUUGUGUUGUUUGGGAGGUUAGCCAAGUCAAGUGGACAUCGUGGGAGAAAGCCGUACACAAUUUUGAAGGGGCUGAGCUUGGUGCUUCGAUUGACUGCAUGGUUAUGAGCAAACUCUGCUUGGCCAAGUUUCUUGUCCCAAGAUUUUAACUGGUCACCCACCAAACUACGAAGGAGAUUACCCAACGAUCGGUUCACCACCUCGGUUUGUCCAUCGAACUGAGGAUGAUAAGCACUACUGAAGUUCAGGCGAGUAUUAACCAUUCUCCAAAGACUCCGCCAGAAAUGGCUCAGGAAACGAGUGUCCCUAUCUGACACAAUUGAUUCUGGCAGCCCAUGCAAUCGAUAAACUUCGCGAAAGAAUAACUCAGCCACAUUAACAGCAUCUGUUGUUUUCUUGCAUGGUAUAAAGUGAACCAUUUUUGAAAAUCUGUCGACUACUACGAAAAUGGAGUCGAAUCCGCGUUGUGUACGUGGGAGGCCUAGAACAAAAUCCAUGCUGAUGUCGGUCCAUGGUCGUACUGGAACAGGAAGUGGCAUGUAUAAACCAGCAUUGGAGGCUCCUCCCUUGGCCACGUGACAGAUCCUACAACGUUCAACAAAACGACCAAUCUCUUUCCGCAUGGAUGGCCAGAAAUAUGAGGCAGCCACAAGUAAAUAAGUUCGGUCUCUUCCUACAUGUCCUUCUCUGUGCAGUUCUUGAAUGAUCUUAGUUCGGAGACUACACUCAGGUAUACAUAGUUGAGUGCCUUUGAAGACGAAUCCAUCAUGGAGGACAAAGUCACUCUGUUGGUUGUUCUGAAUGCUCUCUAGUACAGCAGCAAAAAAAGGGUCAGAUGCAUACAAAUUUUGAAAAGAGUCGAAACCCAUUACUGUGAUUCGCAUAUCAACCAGCAUAGUCUUUCGGCGACUGAGGGCAUCAGCCACCCGGUUCAGUGUACCAGCCUUGUGCUUGAUGACAAAUGUAAAUUGUUGUAAAUACGCAGCCCAAGAUGCAUGCCGGGAUGAUAUCUUAUCUUGACUCCCCAUAUGUUUGAGGGCAUCGUGGUCAGUAAAUAGGACGAACUCCUGAAGAAACAGAUAAUGUCGCCAAUGUCUCAUUACUUGAACCACUGCAUAAAAUUCAGUAUCAUAGGUGCUAUACCGUAAUUUUGCCCCUGAAAGCUUCUCACUGAAGAAGGCUACAGGCCGGCCAUUUUGACUCAGAACUGCUCCGAUUCCUAGCUUUGAGGCGUCACAGUGUAGCUCAAAUGGGUUUGAAAAAUCUGGGAGAACAAGUACUGGGGCGGUGGUUAAUCUCCUUUUGAUUUCUUGGAAGGCUGUUUCGGCCUCAUGUGUCCACAUAAACUUACUAUUGUUCUUCAUACAGUCAGUCACUGGGGCCAUUAUGCCGCUGAAGUGAGGAAUGAAGCGGCGGUAGAAUGAUGCCAGCCCGUGGAAGCUUCGAACGUCAGUCAUGGUUUGAGGUUGUGGCCACUGUUUGAUUGCUUCAAUUUUUGACUCGUCUACCGAAAGCCCCUUAGAAGACACAAUGUAUCCCAAAAAUAAGACCUGGUCACUUAAGAACACACACUUUCUUUUUGCUGCGAAGAAUUGUUCUUUACGUAACACGGUCAAAACUUCCCGAAGAUGUUGUAGGUGCAUCCUAGGAUCAACACUGUAAAUUAAAAUGUCAUCAAAAUAAACCACCACGCUCUUACCAAUGUAAGGCCGCAAGGCUUGAUUCAUCACUCGCAUGAACGUGCUUGGGGCAUUAGACAGUCCGAACGGCAUGACCAUCCAUUCAAAGAGUCCUUCUCGAGUUUUGAAGGCCGUCUUCCAUUCAUCUCCCGGUCGGAUACGAAUCUGGUGAUAUCCGCUCUUCAAGUCUAGCUUCGUGAAUAUUGUGGCUCCACUCAAUUGAUCCAGCAAAUCAUCUAACCGCGGAAUUGGAAACCUGUAACGUACCGUAAUUUUAUUAAUUGCUCUGCUGUCGACACACAUUCUCCACGUGCCAUCUUUUUUUGGGGUUAAAAGGGCAGGCACCGCACAUGGGCUAAGACUCUCCCGAAUAUGCCCCUUUGUUAGCAAUUCCUCUACUUGGCGCCGCAACUCUUCAUGUUCCUUCGGACUCAUCCGAUAAUGUGGUCUGUUAGGCAAGUUGGCACCUGGGACCAAAUUAAUUUGAUGUUGAAUGUCCCUUAAUGGAGGUAAGGUUUCAGGAAGCUCUGUUGGAAAUAGAUCUUCAAACUCCUGUAAUAACGGCUCCACACUGCUUGGAAUAAUGCCAUUCUCAGCCUCCAUUUUUCCGAUCAGCACGUACACAACUCCCGACUCUUUGACUUCUGCUUCAAACUUAGCCAUUGUCAAUAAAUUGUUGUUUUCUCCUGUUGGAGUGCCGCCUGUAACUUCCUUCCUUGGUAACAACACAACCUUGAUUGAAUUGAAGAUGAAGGUGCACGUAUUCAAGAACCCAUCAUACAACACAUGUCGAUCAUAUAGCCACGGUCUGCCCAAUAAUAAAUGACAGGCGUCCAUGGAGACCACAUCACACCAAAUCUGAUCCUUGUAUGUGGUGCCGAUUGAAAAAGACACCAAGCUGCGUCUUGAUACCGUGACAUCAUUCUUCUUAUCCAGCCAUGUUAAUUUAUACGGUCGAGGAUGUGAUUCUGUUGCCAUGUGUAGUUUACGGACCACCUCAUCAGACACUAUAUUUUCACAGCUACCUGAAUCAACAAUGAACCGACAUAUUUUUCCACUAAUUGUACAAGUGGAUUGGAAUACAUUAGUGCGCAGCCAAUCAUCCUCUAUCACGCGUGGUGCCAAACAGCUGCGCCGGAUCAUUAACAUUGGUCCAGCAUCCCCCUCUAAAUGCUCUUCCUCGUCAUAAAUUGGUUCUGCCUCAACAUCGCCUUCCUGUUCCCUGUUAAUCUCCUCAACAUCUGAAAACAAACCUCUCCGCUGCCCUUUCUUACAUUCAGCGAACCUGUGUCCUGGUUCCCCACAAUUAAAACAACGAAAACCUGUGUUAGGUGUCGUUAUGUGUGUAGGCAUAGGAGGCUUGGUAAUAGGAGAUGGUGGAACGGCUGUUCGUGUGCUACUGCUGCUUGCACUACCUGCACCGGUUCCCCCGAAAUUCAUACUCCCUGUUCGUCCGCUGUUGUUGCUUGUAUUUGCACUAGAACCUCCAAAGUUCAGACCCCCUGUAUUUCUGCGCACUAGUUGUUUCUCUAACUGCACUGCUCUCUGGUGGGCAUCCGACACGCCCAAUACAUCAAACAUAUUCAGGAUAUCUUGGAAUUGAAUCGCAGCCACCAAUAUACCGCGCCACCCGUGACUCCUCAUCUUCUGCGAUCGCAUCUCGUGAUACUAACUGAUAAAACUCAGUAGUAUAGUCAUCAACUGAACGGUUUCCUUGUCUUAGAUUUUGCAACCGUUGAUAGAGCGUCCGUGUAUAAUUGUAUGGUAGGAACGCAGAAACAUAUUUUUCUUCAUCUUGUCCCAGCUCGUAAUCUUUCCUUUUCCUUGUAGUCCUUGUCUUCUUUACCUGUUGCCACCAAGCCCCAGCCCGACCUCUAAGCCUUGUUGCAACCAGUGCUACUCGCCUGUCUUCUGGAACUUGUUUAAAUUCUAAAACUUCAUCUACUGUAUUGAUCCAGUCGAGGUACUCAUCCGCUUGCAAGCCACCAUGGAACUCUGGUAUGUCAACCUUGAGGCCUGUCUCCCAGCGCCUUGAUUCAUGCUUGGCCUCCUUGUACUGGCUGAUGGGCGAAUGGAUUUUCUCCUCUUCAGGCUCCUCUUCCACGUCUCGUGGAUUUGGAUUCUGAUGUUGAGCCAUUGACGCUGCUAGCUGCUGCGUUAACGUCUCGACUUGUUGUUGUAGUCGUGCAAUCUCAUCACGUUCGUAGACUUCAUCCAACGGUUGUUCACGAAGGUUCGGUAGGUUCGCACGUCUUCUUGGUGGCAUAACGACGAUAACUAGCCGAGCUCUGAUACCAACCUGAUGCAGAAACGGAACUUACACGCGUUCUAACACACAAGGUUUUUUCAAUCUGUAAUUCCGUAGAAACAAAGAAAGAAAGAUUUUGAGUUAACUACUCAAAGGAGUUUUGGUUUUUUUUUUGUUUAUUAUUCUCCCCUUUCACAAAGAGCUUACAACCGAAUAAAUAGAAGAAACAGAAUUCCUAGAGUUCUAAAACAGCCUCAUUAAGUCAGGAAACAGUCCAGAAUUAAUGAGGAAAUAAAAGCUAAAAUAACGGAACGAAACGUCCUGAAUUAUUAGAGCAAGUAAAAGCUAAUUACUGAAAUGAAAAGAAACUCCAACUGUUACGUAACAAAGUUUAACGUUCUUGAUUGUGCAACAAUAGUCAGCCCUUUUGAUGACUUGCUCUUCGGUCCACAUCAGUUUGAUUGUCAGGUGAGUCAACAGAGAUUCAUCCAAAUCUUGGAUUGUGAUAACCAGUUUCAACAGGUAUGAAGUCCUGUCAGUUGUCACUAUCUUUAUCCUAUGUGCUAGCUGCUGCUGUCAAGGAUCAUGUUUGCAGUCUUGUCACUUUGUAGAUAAAUAUCGGUAACGCAUCAAGGGAUUGGAUAAGCACAGAAAAAUGACAGGAUUAAAAUCCCAUUUGAGAACCAGGUCUACCAGUUUUCCGAGAUAAUUUAUUUAGAAUGGUCAUGAAUAUAAUUGUUAGUCAAGAAUGAUGAAAAUAUCUUUUCUUGAAAUUAUAGUUAAACGAGUAGACUCAAUAAAUUUGUGACCGAUUAACUUAAAUCGGUUUAGGUUUCGAUUUUUAUUCAAUAAAAUAUCAUAUUGUUGUUUUUAAUUUUUAUUCAAACAAUUAAUUUUAUAAAAAAAAUAAAAAAAAUAAAUGAAUCUGAUAUUAUUAUAUUUCACCCAGAUUUAAUUAGAUUAAUUACUGGAUUUAAUUCCCAACUCAAUUCAAAAAAUCAAACCACUCCAGGCCAGGUUUGAUUUGACGGGUCAUCUGAUAUUAAUAUUGAUGAUUAAAGUAAACACUAUUACUGAUUAAAGUAAUCACAUGUUGCUAAAUAAAAAAUAUUAUACAUCAAGAUAAACUUGCCACAGCAUGCUCUCUCAUUUACAGCUUUUAAUAAAAAUCUAGCCUCUGGAAUUCAACUGCUACGCCUACUGCUGAUUAUACCAUUCCACUAUAAUUACAUGGUAAUUAAGUGCAUCUAAGACUACCUAAUUAUUAAACCUUUUUCCCCAUGACCCUCCCUAGUUCCUACAUAAAUCCAAUGAUAUCUUGGUAUUAAAAGAAACAAUCAUCUGGCAUCUAUCGCUAUUAUUGUCACAUUAGUAACGGAAGAUGCCCCAGCAGAGCUCAUCAAUUAAUGACCUUGGUUCUGCCAUGUUUCUUCCUGCGACAAACGCGGGUUGCUAGGGUUCCGGGAGAGAUACGCGGUCCUUUACAAUCAUGGAGAUGACAUUAGACAUUGUAGGCCGAUCAUCAGGAAUUUGUUGGACACAAAGGAGUCCUAUGUUUAUGUAUCUCAACAACGUAGAAGUUGAAGGAGGAUCUCCCAGGCUUGGAUCCAUCAAGUCCAAAGCUUUAUUAGAAUAUUUCCAUAACUUCCAUGCCCAUUGUUUAACAAAGCAAAGUUGCAUCGUUAGGGUGGAGACUAGGAAAGUAAUCAAAUAAAAUUCAAGUAGGAAGAAAAAGAAAAAGGGAGUAUAUGAAAGCUUCCCACAUGUUCAAGAAGAGGGAGGGAGUCGCUGUGGUAGAAACUAGUAUUCUUUUUGCUGCUCACAAUCUCAAGUACCAGGACUCCGAAGCUAAACACAUCAGAUUUUAUUGAGUAAAGACCCUCCACGGCAUAUUCAGGGAACAUAUAGCCACUAACAUUUGAAAAGGUCAGCGCAGAUCAUGUUAGAGUAGCAUGUCCUGGAAAACAGAAUUUAAGAAACUUACUGUGUUCCAACGACCCUGUUGGUGUUUGCUUGAGUUUCAUUGCCUCUGAAAAUUCGAGCCAUCCCGAAAUCGGAUAAUUUUGGAAUAGAAUGUUGCCCAAUUAAAUGAACCAAAGUCCUUCUGAGAGUUUAUUCAAACUAUUUUAACAUUUUUCUUAGGAUAAUCAGGAUUUCUUAUUUGAACGUAAACUUAUCUUAUAAACAGGUCCGAAUCCUCCCUCUCCAAGCUUAUCUGAGAACUGUCCAGUUGCAACUAAUGGCAAUUCCAUACUUUUAUUCCAUCUUUUCUUCCCAUUGUCAACAGAGCUAGAUUCAUUGCUUGUUGAGCUAGGAUCGGUAUCGAAAUCAAAGAGCAAUAAAUUGUGACUUGCAUGUUCCUUCCCUGUUUAAGAAAAAAAAUCAAAGAUGACUGAACACAAUCACUUUUUUUAACACAAUCACGCUCCUAUAACUUUAUAUGGAUACAAUUUUAUGGCAAGUAAUAAUAUAAAAAUUACAAAGUUAGUAGAAUGAUGACGAUAUUUUAUGGUGAUGCAAUAGUUGCAGUGGUGAUAAAGGUGUUGGGAAAACUAUAAACAAAUAACCAGAUCAAUUCAGCGGAAUACAAUUUACAAUUCACAAGUUCCAAUCAUUUUCCCUCUUUGUAUAAUUAAAAACAGAAUCAAACAAUGAACAAGAUAAUACAAACAAUCACACAAAUCAACACCAAGAUUUUUACAUGGAAAACCCGAUGUGGGAAAAACCACGGGAUCGUAGUCCACCUAAAAACUUCCACUAUCAACAAAAUAAUGGGUUCACAACUGUUCUUCCUUAGAUUUAACUAAGGGCUACAACAUACAUAUCAUCAAGAACAAUCUAUUCUUGGAAUACAACAAGAUUAAAGAAGAAGUAUUUGAGAAAAACUCACAAUACUAACAGCCAUGCUUUUUGUCAAAACGGCUAGCUCCCACACUACCAAUCUUCGAUCCAACCAUUCAGAAUGAAGAGUAAUGUGUCUGGAAGCUGCUGUCAAAAUCUCAGCCCGAUCCAAUAGUAAACGAGCUAAGAAUCGAAGAAAUGAGCCAGGCUGCUCUGCUGCCUCUUCUUCCUUUCUUUCUCCCCUUUUCUCUUCUCCUUUCUUUUGUUUUUCUCUACAGCCUUGUACAGUGGCAGCUGCAUUUAAAUCAAAGAGACAGCCAACUGCCUCUCUUUUUAAUUAAUAUGGUGGUCCCACCAUCACAUGGUGCGGGACCACACAUAACAAAUCUCCCCCCCACACACCAUGUGAGGAAUUUGUCAUACUAGUGAUCAACAUGUAAGCUUCAAUUUAAGAGGCUCUGACAAGCCAGCUUCCCUUCUGCAAAACUCAAACUUCUCUCUCGGUAGAGGUUUGGUCAUCAUGUCUGACACAUUGUUAUCGGUAUGGAUCUUCUCAACAACAAAUGACUUCAUCUCCAUAAUAUCUCGAAUUCAUUUAUAUCUAACCUCAAAGUGCUUUGAACGAGAGUGAAAAGUAGGAUGCUUACUAAGAUGGAUUGCACUUUGACUAUCACAGUGCAACACAAAGUUCUCUUGAACUAGGCCAAGUUCAUGUAAGAACUUCUUCAUCCAUAACAGCUCUUUUCCCCCUUCAGUAAGAGCAAUAUAUUCAGCUUCUGUAGUGGAUAAUGCAACACAUUUUUGCAACCUUGAUUGCCAUGAGACUGCUCCCCCUGCAAACUUCAUCAAGUAUCCUGAUGUGGACUUUCUAGAAUCAACAUCACCAGCCAUAUCUGCAUCUGUGUAUCCAUCCAACACAGGUUUAUUAUUACCAAAACAUAGGCUGAAACUAGAAGUACCUUUGAGAUACCUGAGUAUCCAUUUCACUGCUGACCAGUGUUCUUUACCAGGAUCGGAGAGGAACCGACUAACCACACCAACUGCAUGAGCUAUAUCCGGCCUUGUGCAAACCAUGGCAUACAUCAAGCUACCAACUGCGGAUGCAUAAGGAACCUUUUUCAUCUCAUCUCUUUCUUCAUCACUUGAAGGACACUGCUUAGAACUUAGUUUAAAGUGGCUUGCAAGUGGAGAACAAACCGGUUUGGAGUUGCUCAUGUUGAAUCUCUCAAGUACCUUUUGAACAUAUCUCUCCUGAGAUAGCCAAAGUUUCUCCUUCUUCCUGUCACGUGUGAUCUUCAUGCCAAGAAUCUGUUUUGCCGGUCCUAAGUCUUUCAUUGCAAAAGACUUGCUUAACUCUUCCUUUAACAUCUGAAUCUUCUUAGCAUCAUGGCCAACAAUCAACAUAUCAUCCACAUACAACAGGAAAUAAUAAAGUUUCCAUCUGGAAACCUUUUCAUAAAUACACAAUGAUCAGAAGUGGUCCUGUCAUAACCAUGAUCCACCAUGAAAGAAUCAAACUUCUUGUACCAUUGUCUUGGAGCUUGCUUUAACCCAUAUAAACUCUUUUUCAACUUGCAAACUAACUGCUCUUUACCUUUUGCUUCAAACCCUUCAGGCUGCUCCAUGUAGAUCUCUUCAUCUAAAUCACCAUGGAGAAAGGCAGUUUUCACAUCAAGCUGUUCAACUUCAAGAUUCAAACUAGCAGCUAAACCAAGCACAACUCGGAUUGAAAACAUCUUGACCACUGGUGAAAAAAUUUCUUCAAAAUCAAUACCCUUCUUCUGACCGAAACCUUUCACAACCAAUCUUGCCUUAUACCUUGGCUGUGAGCAAUGUUCAUCAAUUUUCAACCUAAACACCCAUUUGUUCUUGAGUGCUCUCUUACCUUUAGGAAGCUUCACUAACUCAAAAGUAUGGUUUUCAUGCAAGGAUUUCAUCUCUUCUUGCAUUGCUUUCAACCACUCACUUUUCUUCUCAUGUGACAUAGCUUCAUCAAAGCAUUCUGGCUCUCCCCCAUCAGUAACCAGCACAUACUCAUGAGGAGAGUAUUUGGUGGAAGGUUGGCGAGGUCUAGUUGACCUCCUCAAUUGUGGCUCAUCUGGAGCUUCUUGCAUAACCUGUUCAGGAAUAACAUCAAUAUCAUCAUUAGCUGAUUCAGGAUCACCAACUAAUGGCUCAUUAAGAAAACCACCAUUAUCAUCAUUUUGCAAAUCUCCCCGUGAUUAGCAGGCAUCAAAGGUAACUGUGGAGUAGGUAUUGGAUUUGAAUUAGAUGGAUAAAAGUAGUAGACUCUGUUUUCUCCUUCUGUUCAAAGUCUUCAAUGGUUUGAUCUUCAAAGAAGAUAACAUCUCUGCUUCUCACAAUUUUCUUCUCCUUUGGAUCCCACCUAUAGCCAAACUCAUCAUCUUCAGAGCCCAAGAAAAUACACUGUUUUGUCUUGCUGUCAAGCUUAGACCUUUCAUCCCUUGGAACAUGUACGAAUGCUCUGCAUCCAAACACUCUCAAGUGUGCAUAAGAGACAUCCUUUCCUUUCCAAACUCUAUUGGAACAUCAAAAUCAAGAGGAACUGAUGGAGAAAGGUUGAUCAUGGCAACUGCAGUCUUCAUUGCCUCACCCCAAAAGGACUUAGGCAGCUUUGCAUGAGAGAGCAUACAUCUAAUUCUUUCAACAAUGGUUCUGUUCAUUCUCUCAGCCACUCCAUUCUGUUGUGGAGUCUUAGGAACUGUCUUCUCCAAUUUGAUACCAUGUUCCCUGCAAUACUUCUCAAAAGGACCCUGUAUUCACCACCAUUAUCAGCUCGAAUACAUUUCAGCUUUCUACCAGUUUCUCUUUCAACUCUGGCAUGGAAAUCCUUAAAGACAUCAAGCACCUGAUCUUUGGAUUUCAAACAAGUGGCCCAAAUUUUCCUGGAGUGAUCAUCAAUAAAACUAACAAAGUACAAUGCACCUCCAAGAGACUUAUCAAUCAUAGAGCAAACAUCAGUAUGAACUAAAUCAAGAACAUGUGAUCUUCUAUGUGAAGGUGAUCUUUGAAAUGCUACUCUAUGUUGUUUACCAACUAAACAAUGAGUACAUGUGUUCAAGUUCAUACCUUUUAAUGGAAGGUAGUUCUUCUUGGCAAGGAUGCCAAGGCCUUUCUCACUCAAAUGUCCAAGCCGUUUAUGCCAUAAAUCAGUAGAGCAAUCUUCAAUUGCAUUCACCUCCCCUUUGAUCACCUUGGCUUGUGACAUGUAGAGACCCAUCUUCUUCCCUUUAGCAACAAUUAGGGAAUUUCUGGAGAGUUUCCAUUUACCAUCUCCAAAAAAUUGUAAUAGCCUUCUUCAUCAAGAGUACCUGUAGAGAUCAAAUGUAGGCGCAUAUCAGGCACAUGCCUAACAUCUUUGAGUAGCAACUUGCACCAGUAUUGGUUUCCAACCAAAUGUCUCCAAUGCCCACAACACUAGCCAUCCCUUGAUUUCCCAUCCUAACUUGACCAAAGUCACCAGCAGUGUAGGAGAAAUCACGUCGAGGUGUACAUGGUAAGAAGCUGCUGAAUCUGCAACCCAGGUGGUAUCCUGACAUGCAAGAUUAACACAACCAUCAUCACAAACAAUGGCAACAUCACCAUCAAAUACAACUGCAGCUGUACCAUUCUCUUCAUUCUUGUCUUCAUCUUUGCCCUUUUUAUCUCUUUUGUACUUUUACAAUCUUUUUGAAUAUGCCCAGGCUUGUCACAAUAAUAACACUUAAAACCCUUCCUUGACUGAGAUCUUCCUCUUGGCUUCCAUUUGCCUUUUCUAUUGCUGGAUUCUCUAUCUUGCUUGCUGUGAGAGAACCUGCUUUGACUUCUCCCUCGACUUUCUGUAACAAGUGCAUGAGACUCGGAAGUGCUUGUCCCUUUCCUCCUCUUCUCUUCGUUGAGGAUACAAUCCUUCACUGUUUUCAAAGUGAUCUUUCCAUUCGGAGUAGAAUUGCUAAGUGACACCACCAAAGUCUCCCAACUAUCCGGCAAUGAACUCAAUAGGAUUAGUGCUUGCAUUUCAUCGGCUAACUCAAGAUUCAUCAAUGACAGCUGAUUCAAAAACCCUUGGAAUACAUUUAUAUGCACCGAAGCAUCUUCACCAUCUCUAUACUUCAAAUUCACAAGGUCUCUAAUUACAAAAACCUUGUUUUGUACACUCUCCUUAGCAAAUGUUUCUUCCAACAUCUUCCAAACUGUAUAACAAUCAUGUUCUUGAGAAAUAUGGUUAAUGAACUUAGAAGAUACCUAUUUUCUAAUAUUAGCGGUAGCCUUUCUAUUAAGCCCAUUCCAUUUUGCCUCAUCUAUUUCAUCAGGCUUUAUUCCUUUAUAUUCAAUCGGCAAAGCCAAAUCAUUGCAAUAUAAGUGAUCCUCCAUCAUUGUUUUCCAUAGAAAAUAAUUUGAGGAAGUGAGCUUUAUCAUACCCGAAUCUUCCUUUUCCAUUUUAACUGCACAAGAAAUUCAAUCUACACAACCAGUGCUCUGAUACCACUUUAUUGGGAAACUAGGAACAAAAUAACUCGAUCAAUUCAGUGGAAUAAAAUUCACAAUUCAUAAGUCCCAAUCCUUUUCCCUCUUUGUGCAAUCAAAAACAAAAUCAAACAAUGAACAAGAUAAUGCAAACAAUCACACAAAUCAACACCAAGAUUUUUACGUGGAAAACCCGAUGCGGGAAAAACCAUAGGAUCGUAGUCCAUCUAAAAACUUCCACUAUCAACAAAUAAUGGGUUUACAACUGUUCUUUCUUAGAUUUAACUAAGGGCUACAACAUACAUAUCAUCAAGAACAAUCUAUUCUUGGAAUACAACAAGAUUAAAGAAGAAGUAUUUGAGAAAAACUCACAAUGCUAACAGCCCUAUUUUCUAUCACAACGGCUAGUUUCCACACCACCAAUCUUUGAUCCAACCGUUCAAAAUAAAGAGUAAUGUGUUUAGUAGCUGCUGUUAAAAUCUCAGCCCGAUUCAACGGUGAACGAGCUGGGAAUCCAAGAAAUGAGCUAGGCUGCUCUACUGCCUCUUUUUCCUUUCUUUCUCCCUUUUUCUCUUCUCCUCUCUUUUGUUUUUUCUGCAGCCUUGUAUAGUGGCAGCUGCAUUUAAAUCAAAGAGACAACCAACUACCUCUUCUUAUAAUUAAUGUGGUGGUCCCACCAUCACAUGGUGCGGGACCACACACAACAAAAGGUUGGGGUGGGAAUGGAGGGGUAAUGGUGGUGCUAGGAAUAUGAUGAUGGAGCAGUAGCAACAAGGUAGCAGCCAUUGUUGUAGCAGUUUUAACGGUGGUCCUAGCUGCAAGAUAGUGGUGGUUAAAAUUAUUGCAUGAUAUUGUAGGUAGAUUUGUGACCUAAAAUAUUUUAUACAACUUUAUAGGUGAAAAUUAUUUUCAAUAAACAAAUUAAGUUUAAUGGUAGACUGGGAAACAAGUACAUGAAAAUCAUCAAGCUCUUGCAUUAUCAAACAUCUAAUAUUAACAUAUAAGAAAAUCGCAAUGGUCUUUUCAAUUCUAUAAAAACCCCAUUAAAAGACACAAGAUUUUUCUUUCAUUUAUCGAAGAAUAACUUAACAGGAAAAUCCUACUUCCAAUAAUAAUUUUUGAUUUACGUGGGUGUCCGGGCCAGCUUGCGCGCACCACGACUAAUCCCACGGCUCACUAAACAUCCUGUAAACCCAGUGAACAUGUAAGGCACCGCGGGGGUGACAGGCGUGCACGGUGAGGUUUGAACCCAGGAUGCAAAGGAAGGAAACAAGUCCCUUCAACCACUAGGCCAAGACCUCAAGUACCUUACAUGGUGAUUAAGGCAACUCCUUAAUUUUGUUCCUUAAUAAAUGUAUCCAUACCAGGCAACCUUCAACAUAUCAGCACCCCCUCAGCAAAACCAGUUAUUCAGGCCCUCAAUGCAAUCAGGGUGACGAGCUGCUUGGAAGGAAGGUAUUGGACUGGCUGUGUCAGUGUUGGCUUGUUGGGCCUAUUUAGCCUACUCAACUUCUUCAAGCCUUCAGCUAAAGGGACACCUUUAUCAUUUGACCACAUUGCCUUUUCUUUGAAAUAAAAACAUGUACUAGCAUUUAGUUGCAGGUAGAAGGGGACGAUCGCUUUCUUUUCUUACCAUGCUACUUGUUCCUGCUUUAAUCUCUUAUGCCAGUUUGGUUACAGGGAUUUCCAGCAGUUUCCAUUGCAGGUGAGCUUUUCUAGCCUUGGCAACAACAUCUAGUCUGAAUUCUGAUUGAUAUAAGCAAUUGGUGUCUUGAAGAAUUUGUUUGGUGCACAGGCAGCUGUCGAGUUAUCAACAUCUGACGGGCUAAUUAUGUGGUAUUAUAUGAUGAAUUUGUACUGAAAGGAAGAUGAGUUUUUAAUAUAUUUAAGAUCUGAAUUAAAUGUGUUUUAUGAACACUUGAUUUGAUGUUGUUCAUGUUUCAAUACAACGAGAAUAAUAGGAAAAACUGAAACAAACAAUUGUACGAUUCAAAUCGGAGAACUUAUACAAAUAAUCUUGAUCUACGUUGCAUACUCAUAGCUUCCUCUGAUGAAGUAGCUUCAUGUCCUUUAGACCUCUUGAUGACAAAACUAUCUCCCAUCUAUCGCCGUUAUUGUCAUAUUAUUCACGGAAGGUACCCCAGAAGAUCUCAUCAAUGGUCUUUGUUCUGCCAUGUUUCUGCCUGCAACAAAAGCAGGUUGCUUAGGUUCUGGGAGAGCCACGUGUUCGUUUACGAUCAUGGAUAUAACAUCAGACAUUGUAGGCCGAUCAGCAGGACUUUCUUGGACACAAAGAAGCCCUAUGUUUAUGUAUCUCAACAGCGUAGCAGUUGAAGGAGGAUCUCCCAGGCUUGGAUCCAUCAAGUCCGAAGCUUUAUUACAAUUCCAUAACUUCCAUGCCUAUGGUAUAACAACGCAAAUGAUGCAUCAUUAGUGUGGACACUAGGAAAUUAGUCAAAUACAAAUCAAAACGGAAGAAAAAGAAAUAAGCGUAUAUGAAAGCUCCCCACAUGUCCAAGAAGAUUGAGGGAGUCGCUGUGGUAGAAACUAGUAUUCUUCCUGCCGCUUACAAUCUCAAGUACCAGCACCCCGAAGCUAAACACAUCAGAUUUUAUCGAGAAGAGGCCCUCCAUAGCAUAUUCAGGGGACAUAUAGCCACUAAAAAUUGGAAAGGUCAGUGCAGAUCAUGUUAAGAGUAGCUGGUACUGGAAAGUGGAAUUCAAGAAACUUACUAUGUUCCAACGAUCCUGUUGGUGUUUGCUUGAGUUUCAUUGCCUCCGAAAAUUCGAGCCAUCCCGAAAUCGGAUAUUUUUGGAUUCAUUUCACUGUCUAAUAGAAUGUUGCUAGGCUUUAAAUCCCUGUGAAUGAUUCGUAACCGUGAAUAUCUAUGUAGAUACAGAAGGCCUUGAGCAAUUCCUUCGAUUAUCCGAAUCCGUGUACCCCAAUCUAGGAUUUGUCCUCUGUUUGCAUCUGUUUAUAGUUUAUACACAAAUCUGAGAUAAAUUUCUUGAAGCAUUUGGAAAGUUAGUGAAAGUUAAUGCAAGAAAAUGCAGACCAAAGAGAAAGAAAUCCAAGCUUUUAUUUGGCAUGUACUCAUAGAUUAGCAUUUUCUCAUCCCGUUCAAUACAGGAACCCAGUAGCCUGACAAGAUUCCGGUGCUGGAGUUUGGCGAUUAGAAUUGUCUCAUUUCUGAACUCCUCAAGCCCCUGCCCAGAUCUUUCUGAGAGCCUCUUCACUGCUAUUUCCAGUCCCGUAGGUAAUUUGCCCUGUUCAAUGAACCAAAAGUCAACCUCAAAAUUCAUUCAAACUAUUUUAAUUUUUUUCUGAAACGGUUAGAAUAAUCAUUUGAACCUCACUUACCUUAUAAACAGGUCCAAAUCCUCCCUCUCCAAGCUUGUCUGAGAAUUGUCCAGUUGCAACUGAUACGCUCUCAUAACUGAACAAUGGCAAUUCCAUAUUCUUACUCCAUCUAUUCUUCCGAUUGUCAACAGAGCUAGAUUCAUUGUUAGUUGAGCUAGGAUCGGUAUCGAAAUCAAAGAGCAAUAAAUCGUGACCUGUAUAUUCCUUCCCUGUUCAAGAAAAAAUUAAAAAUUACUGAACACAAUCACUUUGUUAAAAUAUCCAGCAAUUCUGAUUAUAUCAACCAAAAAUGUAACCACUUCAGGUUAUAAUAACCACAAUUUCCGACAUUAAAAGGGAUUCCAAUUGUCAAUUUUGUCAUGAAAAAAGAAAUUUAAUUUGGUGUUUGUUUGGGGUUAGAUAUUUUACCCACAGACAACCUUUUACGUUUUGAACAUUUUAUAUGAGAAGUUUUACUGAGCUCGGUAAGUAAUGAUGUGGAGACAAACACACCAAAAGAACGCAUGGCAUUCUCUGGCUUUAUAAAAGCCUGAGAAAGGGCAUGACGAGGAGGGAGGGAAAAAGACACGAACAAGAAAAGAACAAACGGAGAGAAAAACCAGAGAAGCACAGGAUAGAUAGAUAGAUAGAUAGAUAGAGAGAGAGAGAGAGAGAGAGAGAUAGAGAGAGAGAGAGAGAGAGAGAGAGAGAUAGAGAGAGAGAGAGAGAGAACCAGAGACACAGACAUGGAGGAACAAACAGGGCGAACCAGCACGGAAACAGGGACGCAAAACACAAAAGAAAACAGAGAGGAAACCAGAAGAACAAGCAAACACAAGAGACAAAGUAAACACAGACAGAACAAAAGGAGAAGAACGAAUAACACAGAGACGAGACGAAGAGCAGGAGACAGACAAAAAACACAAAGAGCCGGGAAGAAGAAGAAAAGGAAGGAAAGAAAAACAGAGUGAGGCACAGGAAGAGAAGGCUAAGGAACAGAGGAGAGGGGAGGCCAAUAGCAGAAAGACGAGCACUGAUCUUCUUCCAGGACUCCAGCAACAAAACACCACCUCCAGGUAAGCUCCUUUCGUUUCCCUCCCUUUAGAAAUAAUUACCCUGUCACUGUGCAAAGCAUGCGUGAAUAAUUCACGCAUGCAUGCACAGUGACCAGCCGGGCCGGACCAGUUAUCAAGUUCAGUUCAUAUGAGAUGAGUUAGAUCUAGAAAAAAAAAAAAAUGAGGUCAAGCUGGAUCUGGGCUUCAACCCAUCCAGUCCAAUUUGUUUUUGGGCAAGGAUGUGUUUUUAAAAACACUUUCUUAUGCUAAUCUUCUUAAUUUUAUUUAUUUGUUUUGAUAUUUGAUCAAACAAACUUCUUUUUUAUAUUAGAAAAUUUUAAAAAAAUUUGUGGACUUUUUUAAAUUUAUUUUUAGGUCCCUCCAGUAUUUGUUUCCUAACAAUUUCAUUAUAUAUUUAAUUUGUUGAUUUUUACUGUGAAAUAAUAAUAAUAAUAAUAAUAAUAAUAAUAAAUGAUGAUUUUUUAAUCUAAAAAGUAAAAUGUCGAAAAACAUGUUCUUUUCUGCAAAUAAAAAAUUUAAAAGUUACCAUAUCGAUACGAUAACCAGUAACUUCAAGAUUUAAUUAAAUUAAGUCUACCAGCAGACAACGGAAAUUAAAGAAAGAACCAGGAUGUACCUCUGUGUAUGAGCUUUCCUUUGCGCAGACAUCUGAAGUACAUGAAGAGGCCGAAGGUAAUCAGAGUAGUUGGAAUAGCCACAGCCAAGGUUGUCCGUAUUGUCCUUUUGAUAUUACCUACUUGUAAAUAUAGAGAUCAAAUAUUACAAAAUCAUAAACCAACACCUGUACAAUGGAUUAAGAAGUUUUUUUAUUGUAGAAAAAAUGGAAAGAUUGGUUAUGUAUCUCACUUUUUUCGACAGGGAACACUGCGUCUGCGUUUUUAUCUGAAAAUACAAGACCGUGAUUUUGUCAAAAAUGGUUUCUCGUCAUUUAUUGGAUCAUACUGUCUAUAUGUACAAAGCCAUACCUGUUCGGGUACUGCCAUUACCAAUCUGUAGUUCAAGCUCAGAAGCAGCAAGUCUGAUGUAAAUUUCUGCUCCAGCCCGGCCAUCAGCAACACCUGACUGUUUUAAGUUUAUAAGAUCUCCUUCCCAUAAAGAACACCCACUGUUAUUAUUAUUGGCAUAAGCCACGCAAGAACAAAUUUCCAAGCAAUCCAAUCUACAUCUUUCAGCACUCACUUUCUGAUAUGUUUUUGAAUUUGCAGGUAAUGUCAGAUUCGAAAUCUUUAGGAAUCCAUCUUCCUUUCCAACACUUCUCUUAUUUUGACACUGCAAAGGAGAUUUCCUAACACAUCCACUUGACCAAUCAUUUUGUACUAAUGGUUUAAAACCUUUCAGGCAUUCACAAUAGCUUGAUGAAUUUUCAUUAAAGACUCCAAAAGCCCCACAUAAACCAUAAACACCAGCAUGGUCUUUUGGUUGAGACCAAAAAAGAAACCACUGCCACCAACCUUCAAACCAAUAGAGUUGUUGCAUAUGUCCUGAAACACCAAUCACGUAUCUUAAAAGAUAUGAGGCAUUGUAAAAAGAAUAGGUGAAAUAGCUUUCAUUUUCAUUUGAUACAUAACUAUAGUUGAAAAUAUAGUCGAAUGUCAUCUCAGGUACCAAGGCAAAUCUUUCUCCAUCCCAAUCACCACUGCUCCAAUACCUGUGUGACCUGUUCCACUCUAUGAAAAGCUGACUGCUUCCAUUUGGGUCGAUCCCAAUCGAGAACAUACCUGGUGCAGGAUCAUCUGAGUUUUUCCAUGAAAUAAGCCGCUGCACUUGCCCAGUGUGCUUGUUGAUUCCAAGCUUUCCACCAGGUAGCCAUGUGUCAGUUGGAUAAUCGAAACUCUGCCAAUAUAUGGUAGCUGGAUUUGAGCCAUCUCUUACGACAAAGUUUCCAUCAUCAAGAAGUACUGCUUCUGCUGUACUAGUAUUCGACAUUGAAGAUGCAAGAGCUGCUGACCAAAGUGUUUUGGUGGAAUUCGUCAGCAAGACAAGAUUGCCAUCAGAUAACAAUUCAAGCUUCGAUGAAGCAGGGUCGUUGGAAGGGCUCUCCCUAUUUGCUACCAUAUUCCCAGGUAAAUGUUUACUGAAGUGCCUGGCUUGAAGAAACCGAGUUCAAAAAUGCCGUUUUGAGAUAUUAGGGUCUCGCUUGCAGAGAGAGAUUGGCCAACCAAAAGGGUAUCACCUACAAUGGAGAAGCAAGUCCUAUGGGAAACGAAUAGCAACAACAGCACAAAGAGCAAAAAACGUGGCUUUGUCUUAACACACAUCCUCUCUAGUUCGUGGGAUUAAGGGUGAAAGAGCUGUGACUGAGCACGAAUCAGAGAACGAGGAAGGGAAAAAAACAAGAAAUCCCUUGUGAAUUCAUCAACUAUAUGAUAAUGCUCGAGAUCUCUUGUCAUAUUGUAGCUGUCAGCUCUUAGCAAUAAUUUUCCACAUUGACUUGGACUUUUCUGUUCUCGCUAUCCCCUCCAAUUAGAGGCUAUGCCAUUUAUUUUUUGAGUCAUGUAAUGCCGAAAUGUGGG